GUGCCAGCAGCCGCGGUAAUACGUAGGGCGCAAGCGUUGUCCGGAAUUAUUGGGCGUAAAGAGCUCGUAGGCGGUUUGUCGCGUCUGCUGUGAAAUCUCAAGGCUCAACCUUGGGCUUGCAGUGGGUACGGGCAAUCUAGAGUGCGGUAGGGGAGACUGGAAUUCCUGGUGUAGCGGUGGAAUGCGCAGAUAUCAGGAGGAACACCGAUGGCGAAGGCAGGUCUCUGGGCCGUAACUGACGCUGAGGAGCGAAAGCAUGGGUAGCGAACAGGAUUAGAAACCCGUGUAGUCC
This 292-nucleotide ribosomal RNA is filed under the name uncultured prokaryote. RNAcentral's name for it is "partial 16S ribosomal RNA". It matches the Rfam family "Bacterial small subunit ribosomal RNA", at positions 505 to 796 of the family's 1533-position model. The record is from RNAcentral.